GUGAAGGUAUGCUCACACACCAAUGACCAUGCAGACUCAUAUAAAGUCAAAUGACAGAUUAUAUAGAUGUGUUACAUUUUAUUGAUUCCCAUUUUCUUCUCUUUCUUUAGAUUUUUGUUGGAGUAAUGAAAAUGAAAGGCGACUCCCUGAAACCUGUGAGAGGGAAGUCACUUCCCCUUGAAAUCCAACCUCUGUGGUCAUCUGAACAACUGUUGGCUGCUGCUAUAAAGAAACUGAAAGAUUUUAACCAGGACAUUGAAGAUCUUCCCCAUGUUUUGCUGUACCCUGAUGCUAAGGAGGUUACAGUGGACACUCUUCAAGUGAAGAUGACAGUGUGGUCUAUGUUAUUUUGCCAUCUGCAGAGAGUUCACUUUCUGACACUGUGGUGUGGGACGGUCGAGAUGAAGUGAGCACUCCAAGAAUGGAGAACAUUUUGCAUAGAUCUUUCAGACACACACAACCAGCAUCUGAUCAAGAUGGAGGACAAACUGAAGAGGUCCAGGAACAGGUCACAUCCACCAAGGGUCAGAACAACUUCUAUAGUGCACUACAUGGGGAACAACUGAACGAGAUUUCGGACACUAACUGAAAUUUUCUGAACGUCGUUGUGUCAGUAGCUGUGCCGCAUACUCCUGUGACGCAAGUGGACGCGCCGCGCAUCAUGUAAACAAACCAG
Long non-coding RNA from Epinephelus moara (kelp grouper), 676 nucleotides. RefSeq lists it as uncharacterized. The transcript has 6 exons. Lineage: Eukaryota; Metazoa; Chordata; Actinopteri; Perciformes; Serranidae. The record is from RefSeq and is a predicted model, not a curated record.